This 1866-nucleotide ribosomal RNA is filed under the name Triticum aestivum (bread wheat). Its description in RNAcentral is "partial small subunit ribosomal RNA". The record is from RNAcentral. Lineage: Eukaryota; Viridiplantae; Streptophyta; Magnoliopsida; Poales; Poaceae.
AUGUUGAGAAGGGUAUAUCUGGUUGCUGAAGCGAACCCUUCCACCGUGUGUGUAUUUACCAGCUCCCGCCCGAAAGGGAAUAUUCAAUUCCUCAAUUCUGUUCCAGGCUUCCAGCCCUCCGGGAUGGACUCCCACCACCCCUCGCCGGAAUACAGCUCGCUCCUCCUCGCCGGCCCUCGUGCUGGCGCUCUGAAACAAGCUCACGCGCGCAUCAUCGUCACAGGCCACAGUCGCUCCCUCCCCUUCAUCACCAAGCUGGCCACGCUCGCCGUCGCAGCGGGCGCCGCCCCGUACGCGCACCUCCUCGCGACCUCCCACCCCGCACCCGACUCCUUCCUCUUCUCCUCCCUCACGCGUACGGCCGCGCACCACGGCCUCCCGGUCGCCGCUAUUGCCUUCUACCGCAUCCUCCUCUCCGCCGCCCUUCCUUUCUCCAGUUUCACCUUCACCGCCGUCGCCAAGGCCUGCGCCGACCUGUCCGCUAUCCGAACCGGCACGGCCAUCCACGCGCACUCCAUCCUCCUCGGGUUUGGCUCGGACCGUUUCGUGCUGACGGCGCUUCUUGUGCUGUACUCCAAGUGCGGCCAACUGGGUGUUGCACGCAAGCUGUUCGAUGCAAUUCGUGAUAGAAGUGUUGUGGCUUGGAAUGCAAUGAUUUCUGGGUACGAACAGAAUGGGCUUGCCGAGCGGGCGAUUGAGGUGUAUAAAGAGAUGCAGGCGGUGAAGGCGGUGCCUGACUCCAUGACGUUUGUAGCCACGCUCUCUGCUUGCGCACAGGCUGGUGCACUGGACCUGGGGCGUGAAGUGGACAGACGUAUUGUUUCUGAAAGAAUGGACAUCAGUGUUUUUCUUGGCUCUGCUCUUGUCAACAUGUAUGCCAGGUGUGGUGUUGUGGACAAAGCUCGCAGAUGGUUCGAUGCGCUCCAGGAGCGGAACGUGGUUACAUGGACUUCCAUGAUCGCUGGAUAUGGAAUGCACGGCCAUGGUCAUGAGGCGAUCAAGCUGUUCCAUUUGAUGAGACGCGAGGGGCCGCCACCCAAUCAUGUCACGUUUGUUGCUGUUCUAUCUGCAUGUGCACACGCUGGGUUAGUUAUGGAGGGCCGUGAUGCUUUUGCUUGCAUGAAGAGGAUCUAUGGACUGGUCCCUCGUAUCGAGCACUAUUGUUCUAUGGUUGAUAUGUUUGGAAGGGCUGGACUUCUUGACGAAGCAAUGCAAUUUAUAAGCGAUUAUAUGCCUGGAGAGCCAGGGCCUGAAGUUUGGACAGCAGUACUUGGGGCAUGCAAGAUGCACAAGAAUUUUAAUCUUGGGGUGGAGGUGGCUGAGCGAUUGAUUGCUCUCGAGCCUGAGAAUCCAUCUUACCAUGUUUUGCUUUCUAAUAUUUAUGCUCUGUCUGGUAAAAUGCACCAUGUUGAGAAGGUGAGGAAUACCAUGAUCAAGAGAAGAUUGAAGAAGCAGAUAGGAUUCAGCUUGAUUGAGCUAGGAGGUACUUCCCAUUUAUUUCGCAUGGGUGAAAAGUCUCAUCCACAGACUACAGAGAUUUACCAGUACUUGGAAGAACUGAUUCAUAGGAUUAGUGCUGCUGGCUACAUGCCUGAAACUGAGUCAGUUCUGCAUGAGUUAGAGGAGGAGGAGAGAGAGGGUGCACUUAGAUAUCACAGUGAAAAACUGGCAGUAGCAUAUGGGCUCAUGAUGAGCGUUGGGAGCACCACUCCUAUCAGAGUAAUAAAAAACCUGAGGAUAUGCGGGGAUUGCCAUCUCGCCAUCAAGUUUAUGUCAUCUGUGGAGAAUCGAGAGAUUGUUGUCAGGGAUAAGCACCGUUUUCACCAUUUUAAAGAUGGCAAGUGUUCGUGUCUGGAAUAUUGGUAA